Molecule: ribosomal RNA, 519 nt
Filed under: uncultured bacterium
Lineage: Bacteria
Description: bacterial SSU rRNA
Rfam family: Bacterial small subunit ribosomal RNA
Source: RNAcentral
AGGUUCGAUUCUGGCUCAGGAUGAACGCUAGCUACAGGCUAACACAUGCAAGUCGAGGGGCAGCAUGUGGUUGCUUGCAACCAAUGAUGGCGACCGGCGCACGGGUGAGUAACGCGUAUCCAACCUUCCCUAUAGUAGAGGAUAGCCCGGCGAAAGUCGGAUUAAUACUCUAUGUUUUCCAAUGCAGACAUCUAAAAUGGAACAAAGGUUCACCGCUAUAGGAUGGGGGAUGCGUCUGAUUAGAUAGUCGGCGGGUAACGGCCCACCGAGUCGACGAUCAGUAGGGGUUCUGAGAGGAAGGUCCCCCACAUUGGAACUGAGACACGGUCCAAACUCCUACGGGAGGCAGCAGUGAGGAAUAUUGGUCAAUGGGCGAGAGCCUGAACCAGCCAAGUAGCCGUGCAGGAAGACGGCCCUAUGGGUUGUAAACUGCUUUUAUACAGGGAUAAAGUGACGUACGUGUACGUUAUUGUAGGUACUGUAUGAAUAAGGACCGGCUAAUUCCGUGCCAGCAGCGGC